RNAcentral lists this long non-coding RNA (509 nucleotides) under Marmota monax (woodchuck). Lineage: Eukaryota; Metazoa; Chordata; Mammalia; Rodentia; Sciuridae. The record is from RNAcentral.
GUUGAAGAUAAGGUACAUUGUUAAGAAAAUUGUUUUCUAAAAAAAAAGAAAGAAAAGAAAAUUGUUUUCUUGCAUUGUGAACUCACUUGUAUGCAUUGUGAACUAUCUGUUGGUGCAGCGACUUGUGGUAGUGUUGGGGUAUUUAUGCUGAUGGUGUCAUCGGUGGUACAAUUUUUCCAAAAGGAGCCAUCACUGAACUGCUUGCAGAACUUGCCUGGACUAUGUAUCACUUGUAUGCAUUGUGAACUCACCUGUAUGCAUUGUGAACUAUCUGUUGGUGCAGCGACUUGUGGUAGUGUUGGGGUAUUUUUACUGAUGAUGUCAUCAGUGGUACAAUUUUUCCAAAAGGAGUCGUCAAUUGGCUUGGUGUAUCUUCCUCCCUUCUGCUUGUCAUGGUCGUUCAGCUAAAAUUUGGGGGCGAACAGAGGUGAGGCAAAGAACCUCCCCCCCCCCAGCUGAUACAAAGACCUAUCCACAGGUGUGGCUGUAUUCUGGACCGGUAGUCAGUG